RNAcentral lists this RNase P RNA (403 nucleotides) under Oscillatoriales cyanobacterium SpSt-418. RNAcentral describes it as "RNase P RNA component class A". It matches the Rfam family "Bacterial RNase P class A". Rfam says of the family: Ribonuclease P (RNase P) is a ubiquitous endoribonuclease, found in archaea, bacteria and eukarya as well as chloroplasts and mitochondria. Lineage: Bacteria; Bacillati; Cyanobacteriota; Cyanophyceae; Oscillatoriales. The record is from RNAcentral. RNAcentral also lists the same sequence under 1 other name.
CGAGUAAGCGAGGUGGUUGCAGGUUGCGAUCGCAACUUGAGGAAAGUCCGGGCUUCCGAAAGACCAAGCUUGCUGGGUAAUGCCCAGUGCGGGCGACCGUGAGGAUAGUGCCACAGAAACAUACCGCCGAUGGAACAGGUCAAGAGUCAAGGUUCAUUCCUGCUUGCGACGGUUCCAGGUAAGGGUGCAAGGGUGCGGUAAGAGCGUACCAGCAGCAUCGAGAGGUGCUGGCUCGGUAAACCCCGGCUGGAAGCAAGGCUGUAGGAACUAGGGUUGGUCUUUUUCCCGUUCCGGCAAAAGGUAACUUUUGUGCGACCGCUAGAGGUGUCUGGUAACAGGCAUUCGAGAUAGAUAACCGCCCUCCAAUCGGAGAACAGAACCCGGCUUAUGUCUUACUCGCCCC